CUUUUAUUCAGAACUACAGAGAGAAUAAACUCGAUGAAGUAGUAGCAACCUAUUAAUUUAGGUGCUUAAAUUAGGGGAAACCAGCAAUAAGAG
This 93-nucleotide non-coding RNA is filed under the name Spiroplasma helicoides. RNAcentral describes it as "SAM-I sequence". It matches the Rfam family "SAM riboswitch aptamer (S box leader)". Rfam says of the family: The SAM riboswitch is found upstream of a number of genes which code for proteins involved in methionine or cysteine biosynthesis in Gram-positive bacteria. Lineage: Bacteria; Bacillati; Mycoplasmatota; Mollicutes; Entomoplasmatales; Spiroplasmataceae. The record is from Rfam by way of RNAcentral.